ACAUUCCAGAGUGCCUAAGUUGGUCAUUGUAUGAAAUUUUUUAUUAUUAUUUAAUUCCUCACUUACCUACCCACACUGUGAUCAGUGAACCUAGCUUUUGCCAUCGUUCAAUUCUCUAGGCGCCCAUUAUCCUUAUCCCUUCAUCUUCACAUCUCUAUUUUAUUUCUCUCUCAAUCUCUCACCUCGACUCGUCUGUUUUUUUUUUCUUCGCAGUAAUACUUCACCCCUUUCUUUUUCUCUCUGCAAGUUUACAUAAUUGUUCUCUCAACCGAGCUCUAAAUUGUUUCAAUCAUAUCACUUGAAAAAGAAAAUUCAAUUAAAAGUAAAUUUCGUAAAACCCUAAUUUUUUCUUCAGCUCUAGUAUGUUGUAUGGGUUUGAAGGUUCAAUAUGAACAGGAAUUAUUAUAAGAGCAAUUAUCAUCCUCACUUGGACUUCUCAACAUUUUUAGGUACAAAUCCCCUGAAAUUUUUGUACCAGUUCACUAAGGUGUGAUAAACAAAAGGGUUCAUAUAAGAUGCAAGUCUACUAACUCUGUUGAAGAAAUCUAAGCUCUGGACAAGCUCAGGGACCUAGAGGAGGAGGAGGAGGAGGAGGAGGAGGAGGAGGAGUAGGGACGCAGACACUAAUAACCAACGAUUCCCUAGCCUAUAUCAAAGAUGUAAAGGACAUGUUUCAGGAUAGGAAAGACAAAUAUGAUGAGUUCUUGGAAGUUAUGUAAGAUUUGAAGGCUCAAAGAAUUGACACAACAUGGGCUAUAGCUAGGGGGAGGAUUUUUUUAAAGAGCAUUGAAACCUUAUUUUGGGUUUCAGUACCUUUUUUACCUGAAAGUUAUGAGAUAACCCUCCCACUUGAGGACGAGCAACAACCUAAGAAACUUGUAGAAUUUGAUGAAGCCAUUAACUUCGUUAACGAAAUAAAGACAAAAUUCAAAGAUAAUGACCAGGUUUACAAAUCUUUCCUAGAUACAUUGAAUCUGUACCGGAAAGAAAACAAGUCCAUCGCUGAUGUUUAUGCCUAGGCAGUUGUUUGUAGUCUUUGUUCAGUCAAGUUGAUGUGUCUGGAAACCGAAAGGCAGUUGUCAUCCACGAUCCCUAUAGACUAUGAAAAGGCUUCAAGAAAAUUCAUGUGAGGCUUGUGAAAGAGCUUGAAAAUAAGUUCAGUUGAAAGGGUGAUAACAAGUCAAUUGGAAGGGGUGCAAAACAAUUUCCAGCAUCUUAGACACACGAGGCCAACCUUGUUGUCUUCCCAAGGCGUGCAGGAUAAUUCAAGGUAAAAAAACAUUUAUGCCGGCCUCUAUGUAUCUUCUCCAGUUUUUUUACCUUGCCUAUAUGGUCACAUUUAUGUUUAUAGUUCUAGCUGCAUUCCAAUAUUUUGCUUCUCCAAGUACUUCUUCCUCAAUUGCUUUUCGACCAAAACUCAUUUGUAUUCACCACUUUUCGUUCUAAUAUGCUUAAAUCAACAAGAAAUAACAUCAAUUAAGAACCACCUUUUACUAGAGCCCUUUUCGCUUUCCCACGACGAAACCGGUUUUUUUUCGAGUUUUCCUUCGUUCUUCAACUUCUCCUUCUGGUUUUCCCUCCGCCAUGAGCGGAUAAGAAGCCGUUCAUAGGCUAUGAUGGGGGUUAAUCACAUAGUUUUUUAGGGUUUCUGCUCACAGGGGUCUUAUUGGUUGUUUAGUGGAUUUAAUUUUUAAUUUGGAACAAGGUUAGUGGAGGUGACAGUCUGAUAAUCCGGAUGCAACAGUUAUCAGUGCACUUGAGUAUUAAUCGAUACAUAAAUUGUCAGGUAAUGAUUUCCUUUAAUCUCAUCGAUUUUGAUCCUAGUUCUUCAUCGAUUCUGCUAUUAUGCUCGACUUUACUCUUCCCCAAUCUUUAACCCUUUGUCAUUUGUUGAAUUUCUUCUCAAUUUGUUACACUUGGAGAUUUCCCUUAAAACCCUAAUUUUUUAAUUUGAUUUGAGUUGAGAAAUUUGUGAUUUUUUACAAUCCUUUGGGAUUCCAUUUUUUAAUACCUAAUUCUCACUACUCUCCCAAACCCCAAUUUCCCCUUUAUAAGCACUGUAAGUUGUAGUUUUUUACCUGUUAUGCUCUCCCCUCUCUGCAAAACCUUAUAGUUUUUCUCAGUUUAUCACAACCAUCAAUACCUAUUUGUGUAGCUUUUUAGCUGAGUUUUCUGUAUCACCAUGUAUGUUGUUUGGCAUGGUUAUGUGUCUCAAUUAACAAAUCAACUUGAAAUCUCUUUGAAUCUGAGUCAAGGUAGACAGUUUGAUGUUAAUGAAAUCAUUCCAUCAAGGUACCUGAAUAAUGAAGACUUGUGGACAAGCUUUUUGUUGGGUAGGUUUGCUGAACCUGUAGCAAGGAAUAGUUGGGAUGUGAGAAAUGCCUUGCUUUUCCAGUGGAAGAUUCAAGGAGGUCUAUCUGUGAAGAUGGUGAGUGACUGGAUUCUUCUAGUGAGAUUUGAAAGGGAAGAUGAGAUGCAUAAAGUGUUGGUAGUUGCAACAAGAGUGGUUUAUGGAGACUUAUUCUGCAUCAAAAUCUGGGAGAGAACUGAAAACUUUAACCACUUGGAGUCCUCCAACUGAGAUGUUCUUCAUAACCAUUCACAACUUAACUCAUGCUCAGUUAAACAGUGAUAACUUGAGAAGAUAUUUGGCCUAUAUGGGAGACAUUUCAUCCUUCUCCUACCCUAUUAGGAAGGAAAAUGGAAGUUACUCCAUAACUGUGAGGGCAAGCAUCAGAUACAAACAAAGACUAUGCUUUAGUGCGAUGGCUGAAAAUGAGAUGGGAUUUACUAUUGAGAUCAGGUUUCAAUUUCAUCAUUUUCCAAACAAUUUUUGUGACUAUUGCAAAUUGAUUGGCCAUAAGUUUCAGAACCGUCAACAACAACUAUUUGAUCAGCAGCAGGCUGAACAACAACAGGCAGCAGCAGAUGCUAUUAUGGCUGCAAUGCAACUAUUUGAUGCACAACAACAUGAAGCAAUUGUGAAUCAGCAGCCAGAGGUUCCAGUGAUGCAGCAGCAGGGGUUAAAUUAUCAUGAAGAUAGUUUAGACAGUGCAGAGACAGGUCAUGCUUUGUCUGAGGUUACUUGCACUGAGUACCUCAAGCAUUUGGAGGUGGAAGAUGCUAGCCAGAACAGUGAUAAGGGCAUCUCAAUGGGCAAGACUGGUGCUGGUACUUCUAGUAACCAUCUUCUGAGGGCUGAUGCACUUCCAUUUUACCAUAAUUCAGACUGGAACAAAGAUUCUUAUAUGUGGAAGGUUGUCUAAAAAGGGAUAAACCUGGUCAAGGGCUGAAUAUGGAUUUGUAGGAUCAGAAUCUCGCUAUGACAAUGUUUCAGCGAAAUUAUCAAUGACACAUCACAACAGCGUCGCAGAACAAUUUCAGAAAUGAUAAAAUAAAUGACGUCAGCUAAGAUCACGAGAAAGAUAUGAUAGUCCUGCGAAAAUUAGAGAGUUUCCGAAAUUAACAUUUGUAAGGUUGCGAGAAUAUCGCAGACCAUACCCGAAAAUAAAGGACAGUAGCUGUCAUCCACUAUGUAUUUCCUUAUAAAUAGUCGUUCUAGUUGUAAAAAGAGAGGGAGAUUUUUUUGAGUAAAAAACAAGUAAAUAGGAGAGAGAAAGUCUAGAGUAGAGAUCAUUCUUGAUUUCUUUAUCUUUUCUUGUAAGAACAUUCAAAUAUUGAUCAAUAAAAUUAAGAGUG
Molecule: RNA transcript, 3699 nt
Organism: Papaver somniferum (opium poppy)
Lineage: Eukaryota; Viridiplantae; Streptophyta; Magnoliopsida; Ranunculales; Papaveraceae
Exons: 7
Source: RefSeq, a predicted model, not a curated record